AUAAAAGGUGAAAAGCAGCUAGGUUUAGUUGUCAUAAUUUAUUAAAGAAGUUAAAGAUGUUAACUAUCUAAAUACACAUAGAUUUGCGGUCACGCACACGUCAAUAUGUUCAUCAAAUAUCAAACUGCGACAUUAACUUUGAAGAAGGCCUCUCUUAAAACUGACUUCAGGCUUCAGCAACUUUUAACUGUAACAGUUAGCCGGCGAGCUAACUUGCUAGCGGCUAACCAACCGCUAGUCAACUAUCAAACAGUGGUACAGUGGGACAUGACUAUCACCUGGAUGCUCAUCAGUUAACCCCCAUGAAACGCAGCUCAGUGGGUGCCGACAUCAAGGAAGGGUCACAGGGCGGCUGGAGCCAAUCCCAGCUGACAGUGGUUUCGCUCUCACCGAAACAACUUUCCGGCUGUCUGUCACAGAAGUUCAGGUUGCCUAGCAACAGGGUCGAGCUUGUCGCAGCGGGUUGCCACAAUGACAGUCGCUAGGCGGGAGCCCGGCAACAAAGACAUCAGUCAAGUGUGGAGCCUGCAUUCCUGUCUUGACAUUGCUUUGGCUGCUGAGAGAUGUUAAGGCUAUAGGACUGGCUGUGCACUGACAUCUGACAUCGACAGAAAAAACAUUCCCUCUCACUGAGGUAUCCUGCUUUAACAUGUACUCGAGUCUCCAGUGUUUCUCCCAUGAUUGAAGCCCGAGCACAACAGUGAGCAGUGGUGAUUAAGCCAGUAUGUGUGCGGUUAAUAGAGUGCAGGAGCCAAGCAGCGGUAGGACAAUAGCAGGAAGAGACCACAGGGAGGGGGCUGCCGGUCACCAUGACCCCCUGGAUAUUGUUCUGCUGCCCACCAACAUUUGAAGGAUGGAGGGGUGGAGUGAAGGACGACGUGAGGACGGGAGGAAAGACGGACGGAGCGUGUAGAAGGUGGUCAGAGGAGAAGAGGAAAACAGAAACAGCAAAUAGGAAGAACCGAAGGGAGACGAGGUAAAAGAUGAGAGAAAAGACGUGCAGCAGACAGGCGAGUGUGUUUGAUGUGAGCAGAAACAUGCGGGAAGAGUGAACGUGUGUGAGUAAAUACUGUGAGUGGAAUGCAGACACAUUGACAGCUGACAGACAGCCUGAAAAGCCCGACCCGCCUCCAGUGUCCCUUCUCAACCGGAGUCCUGCUCUGCGGCACGUACACUUCCAGACAGAGGGGCCAACCAGUCUGUAAUAUCUGAGCUCCAGACUCCUGCUUUGUUCCCCUGCUGGACGGCUUUGUUCACAGACCACAGACCGGAUGUCUCCUAACUGACUGGCCGCUCUCUCCCUCUCUACUUGGUCUAACCCUACCCCCCUUCAGUUCCUUCUCUGGUGCCCUCCAGUCUUGGGAGAUAUUUUGUCAUCGACGCCGUGGAAGCAAAACAGGUCUUUGCUGUAUAUCACUUGUGAAAUGAAAAGCUCUUAAUAUGGACACAGAAUCAUAAAUGUGCCGGAUAUAUGUGCUUGUAUGCAGCCGCAAAUAAAACUGCAUCACUUAGAAGAGGGGUUUGUUCUUGUGUCUGCGUUGUAAAUAUGAAGCUACAGCCAGGCGCCACUUAUAUAACGUGGCAAUGUCGGCCUACAUUUUUGUUGUUGGUCUGUUCUUUUUUUUCUUUUUUUUUCAUUUUUAUUCGCAAACGAGUAAAACCUACGUCAGAGAAACCUUAAUCAGCACUGGAAAAGGAAGU
Long non-coding RNA from Acanthopagrus latus (yellowfin seabream), 1701 nucleotides. RefSeq lists it as uncharacterized. The transcript has 5 exons. Lineage: Eukaryota; Metazoa; Chordata; Actinopteri; Spariformes; Sparidae. The record is from RefSeq and is a predicted model, not a curated record.